CAUGACCCGGUUACCUUCUCCCCCAACCCAGAGGCAGCAACACAAACGCUCCCCCUUUUUCCUCAAAAUAAUACACUCAACAGCAGUAGCAGGUCUUCCCCCUUUUCCCAACAUAACGCAACACACACGGCUUUCCAUUCCCAUGAAAGAAAGAAAUUGAGGCAGAGAGGGAGAUGGAGCUUGAGAAGGGAGAUUGGGCAGAGAGGGAAGGGCUGCACUGUGACCACCGCCCAGCCGUCGCGCCGCCUUGGGGUCCGCCGUCAGGUCCGAGUCGAAGGAAGGGAGAAGCCGCUCUGUCAGCGUCGCGCAGAGAGGGACUCGCCGCCAGCUCCGUCGUCCUCACUGCUGCGCCACCGUCGGGCCCGCAAUCGUGGAGGAAGCACAGCGCCACCAUGGGUCCUUUUCUGUCGAACUCGAAGGAGGAGGAAGGCCGAUACUGGGCAACGCUGGGAGAGAAGGAGACGCGAGCUGGAGGAGCUGCGUCCAGUCGCCGCCGACGCGCCAUUGACCGCCGCUGUUCUGCCGCGCCGAGGGUCCCUUUCCUGCUAGAUCUGCUGCCAUGAAACCCCGCAGUGCCUCUGGUUGCCGGAAAACGGUAGUGGAUGUUGGUGCUGGGUUAGCGCCGCCACUGCUGCUGGCCGUUUCGAGUUGCUCCGCCGUCUCUGCCACCGGAAAAUCACUGCCGUCGCGGUUGUCGGAGUCUUUCAUCGCCGCUGCCGCUUGAGGUGGUUGACGGAGUCGCUGCCAGGUUGAUAUGGAGCUGCGGCUGUUUCGUUUCGCUAGCUCAUGUUGCUAUAGUUAUUGCGGACGUGACUGGGAGCUAAGGUUUUGGUUGCCGUCAGUUUGGGUUGAGGCGGAAAGGACCCUGUGACGCGUUUGGGCUAUGGUUUUACGUUGAGGAUAUGGGCGCAGAAGUCACGAAGAGUUUA
This is a non-coding RNA of Arachis ipaensis, 929 nucleotides long. Lineage: Eukaryota; Viridiplantae; Streptophyta; Magnoliopsida; Fabales; Fabaceae. The record is from RefSeq and is a predicted model, not a curated record.